Long non-coding RNA from Musa acuminata AAA Group (dessert banana), 2213 nucleotides. RefSeq lists it as uncharacterized. The transcript is spliced from 4 exons. The record is from RefSeq and is a predicted model, not a curated record. NCBI's taxonomy places the organism in Eukaryota, Viridiplantae, Streptophyta, Magnoliopsida, Zingiberales, Musaceae.
UCCUCUCCUCCUCCUAUGACGCUACUGUCGCUGCUCCCUCCUCUCUUCGUCCUCAUCGCCUCCCUUCCUCUGAUUCUGGGGUCGGCUUCGCCGACGGAGCCAUCUCCUUGACCAAGAUUCAAGAAGAGGUUAGGUUCAUCUAUUUCGUCCAAGAAGUUAAGGGGGGUUUUUCUUGCCUCCGCAAUUGAUUGUUUUGAUUCGUCUGGGUGCCCUACGUUGAGUCGGUUGUGCAAACUAAGCAUCUUUCUCUGCUUUCCAAAGCGACGUUCAUUGGUGUAAUCCUUUGUGAUGCAAUCUUGGGGUUCCCAAAUGAUACAGGACAACAAAGAAAGGGUUCUUUGCUUCUGGUUGCACACACACAAGGAGCUGGAGAAUCAAACACUUGCAACAUCAGGGUGACAGGCAUAUAUGGCAGGUAUUCUUUUAUGAGGGCCUUCCCGUGGAGGUGGAGUUGGUGUUUCCUUGGCAAGUAUUUAUUUUCUACGUGGAAGUCCCAGGUAUGCCCGACUGCUUCCAGCUUCCAUGGCAAACAAAGCAUUGCGCAGCCGUCAAGCUCCCAGUAAAAGGAAUAAAAUAAAAUAAAAAGAAUAGAUCAUAUAAUGAAUAGAUCAUAUUAGUCCACACAGCCCAAACAGAAUGGGGGGCCCAAAUCACAUCACACCCCAUCAUCUCGACUCAAAACGGAAAAGAAAAAGCACGCCCAUAUCAGACUUUUCAGAGGAAGCAUCGAUGGAUGUAUGUCGACUCAGAAGAGCUUGUCGGAGGCGGAGGAUGCAUCCAGAGGAUGGAUGAGAUAGGUGAGGAGUAAGGCAGCCAGCAUCAGCACAUAAGCAAUCCCUUGGUCGAUCGCCACCCCUGCACCAUCACAGUAUUAAGGUUCUUUCGCAUCGAAGAGUCGGACAUAGAUAGAUUACACCUACAUUUAGAGGGAGAAGAGAAGAGAAAGGAAGCGUGACUCACCGUCGCUGGUGGGAGCAGGCGCCGGCGCCGGCGCCGGAGACUGUGCCCGGACGGCGGGCACCAGCACGAUAGCGGAGAUGAGGGCCACGACGACCAUCAGGAAGGAAGGAACCCGAGCCAUCUCCCUCCGCCUUCAGAACACCGGAAAACCCAAAGUGCGCAAGGAUAUCCCCCCCGCCCCCGAACACAAACAGAGGAGAGCAGCACGCGCAGAGCCUCACAGCCCGAACAGAAUGUGCUUCUCUUUUCCUAUGCUUUCCUCGCUUCUUUCGAAUGCCAAGGGGUGGGAAGAAGAGAGGGCUUUAUAGAGAGACCAGAGGGAGACGGAGGGCCGGCCCGCGGACGCGUAACGCGACCGCUCCGGGGCCCACCCACAUGCAACGGCCGGCUGGCUGGGGCCCGCCCGCCAGCCUGGAUUCGGGUCCCUUGCCUGAUUCUCAUAGUUCUACUUACGCUGGCGAAGUCGCUACCCGCUCCGGUACCAGGUGGGACGGACGCGGAUCAGCUUUGCAUGUGGUCGAGUGCCGACCACUCGAUAUCUUAUUUAGAGCUUGCACCGAGGAUGAACAAAAAUAAUGGGUUUAGCUGAUUGAGAGUCAAGAUGGAAUUGGGUGAACAAGAUGAUGGGGAUCCAGCGAGGCGUUGUUCCAUUGUUGUGCAAAGAGUCGGAUAGUUGGAUUAGGUCUCUGGGACCAGAGAGACAUGCUGAAUCAGGACAGGAAGAAAGAGAAGCUGGGAGGAUCUCCAUAAUUCAAAUUGCUUGUGGUCACAUCGUUGCUCCUGCCGUUACUCAUCGAGUGAAGCAUCCUGCCAAAAACAAUGAGUGUGAAGAAUCCACCAGCUGCGAUUCGAGUGAAAGGGUCUCUGGUGGUCCGGUGCCUUCUCAACUUGGAUCCAAGAUCCAGAAGAAUCAUAGAUUCAUUCCUAAGCUUCAAAGAAAGGCUCUGAUAAAGUGGUGUCAGAUUUAUUGUUGUGAUGCAUCGACCAUUUCAAUCUGACAUUUGCUUCAGUUACAUCACCCCCUGGCCAUGGUAUAUCCAGAGUCUCUCACCUGUCACACCGAGGCUAACAAUUUCCAGUUCAUUAUUCCACUGUAAUUUCUAUCAUCCAAUGCUCACCAAACUUCAGUUAGCGUUGGUCGAUACAUUUCCUCCGAUGAAUCCAGGUAAGCAUCAGCUGUGGAGAUAACAUGAAUUUGUACAGUAGAAUCGUCUUCCGAGCAGUGUGGAUUAACAUCACAUUAAGUUCAUGCA